GCUGUUGCCUGGCAGGGGAGACCCCUUGAUCAUGAAGGACGUUUUCCCCAGGGUGAGGCUCGUCGGUUGCACUGCGGGUGUGCUGACCCCUGCGUUUCCCCAAAUGUGGGAAACUCGACUGCAUAAUUGGUGGUAACAAGCAUGAAUGGUCCCCUUUGCUAA
This is a small nuclear RNA of Hemicordylus capensis (graceful crag lizard), 162 nucleotides long. RefSeq annotates it as U1 spliceosomal RNA. Lineage: Eukaryota; Metazoa; Chordata; Lepidosauria; Squamata; Cordylidae. The transcript has a single exon. The record is from RefSeq and is a predicted model, not a curated record.